UGGAGUAUGGUGUAAUGGUAGCACUACAGAUUUUGGUUCUGUCAGACCUGGUUCGAGUCCGGGUACUCCAA
Molecule: transfer RNA, 71 nt
Filed under: Bacteriophage sp.
Description: tRNA-Gln
Rfam family: tRNA
About the family: Transfer RNA (tRNA) molecules are approximately 80 nucleotides in length. Their secondary structure includes four short double-helical elements and three loops (D, anti-codon, and T loops). Further hydrogen bonds mediate the characteristic L-shaped molecular structure. tRNAs have two regions of fundamental functional importance: the anti-codon, which is responsible for specific mRNA codon recognition, and the 3' end, to which the tRNAs corresponding amino acid is attached (by aminoacyl-tRNA synthetases). tRNAs cope with the degeneracy of the genetic code in two manners: having more than one tRNA (with a specific anti-codon) for a particular amino acid; and 'wobble' base-pairing, i.e. permitting non-standard base-pairing at the 3rd anti-codon position.
Source: RNAcentral